UUAUGGAUAACAAGAGACAAAGUAAAACAGUGUUAUUUUAUGGACAACAAGAGACAAAGUAAAACAGUGUUAUUUUAUGGAUACCGAGAGACAAAGUAAAACAGUGUUAUUUUAUGGACACCGAGAGACAAAGUAAAACAGUGUUAUUUUAUGGAUAACAAGACAAAGUAAAACAGUGUUAUUUUAUGGAUUCAAGACAAAGUAAAACAGUGUUAUUUUAUGGACAACAAGACAAAGUAAAACAGUGUUAUUUUAUGGAUACCGAGAGACAAAGUAAAACAGUGUUAUUUUAUGGACACCGAGAGACAAAGUAAAACAUUGUUAUUUUAUGGACACCGAGAGACAAAGUAAAACAGUGUUAUUUUAUGGACAACAAGAGACAAAGUAAAACAGUGUUAUUUUAUGGACACCGAGAGACAAAGUAAAACAGUGUUAUUUUAUGGACAA
Molecule: long non-coding RNA, 447 nt
Filed under: Oncorhynchus mykiss (rainbow trout)
Lineage: Eukaryota; Metazoa; Chordata; Actinopteri; Salmoniformes; Salmonidae
Description: lncRNA (ENSOMYG00000072550.1)
Source: RNAcentral